Molecule: small nuclear RNA, 316 nt
Filed under: Microtus ochrogaster (prairie vole)
Lineage: Eukaryota; Metazoa; Chordata; Mammalia; Rodentia; Cricetidae
Description: 7SK RNA (ENSMOCG00000006163.1)
Rfam family: 7SK RNA
About the family: 7SK was discovered as an abundant small nuclear RNA in the mid-70s but a possible function has only recently been suggested. Two independent studies have found that 7SK RNA binds the CDK9/cyclin T complex (known as elongation factor P-TEFb). P-TEFb activates transcription by phosphorylating the C-terminal domain of RNA polymerase II.
Source: RNAcentral
GGACGUGAGGGCAAACUGACUGUGAUAUCUGUUACCGGGGUUGAUUUGAUGAUCUGGAUAUCUAGGUAGGGAUCCCCUGGGUCCCCUCCCUCUCUUACCACUCCAUGCAUGACCCUCCCAGUGCUUUGCCCUUGAUCUGCACGUGGCCUUUUCUGGAUAGAGGAGGACCGUCCAUCUUCAUCAAGGGUCUACGAGUAAUUGUCCCCCUCUGCUAGAACCUCCAGAUGAACUCUCAAGAAGCAUUUUUAGAGCAAACUACUUAGAAUCAGUCUGGUAUGAUAAAUUCCAGUAUUAUCCAAUAGGAAAAUCUUCCCUG